GGGCCAAUGGCGGAGGCUACACAUGCAGUCGAGCGUGAACAUCCUUCGGGGUGUGGAGAGCGGCGGACGGGUGAGUCCUUCGUGGGAACGUGCCUUUUGGUGGGGGACAACAGUUGGAAACGACUGCUAAUACCGCAUAAGCCAAUUUGGGAAAGCCUUCGGGCGCCGAAAGAUCGGCCCGCGUUAGAUUAGGUAGUUGGUGGGGUAACGGCCUACCAAGCCUACGAUCUAUAGCUGGUCUGAGAGGAUGAUCAGCCACACUGGGACUGAGACACGGCCCAGACUCCUACGGGAGGCAGCAGUGGGGAAUAUUGCGCAAUGGGGGAAACCCUGACGCAGCCAUGCUGCGUGGGUGAAGAAGGCCUUCGGGUUGUAAAGCCCUUUCAACGGUGAAGAUGAUGAUUGUAGCCGUAGAAGAAGCCCCGGCUAACUUCGUGCCAGCAGCCGCGGUAAUACGAGGGGGGCUAGCGUUGUUCGGAAUUACUGGGCGUAAAGGGCGCGUAGGCGGACUGUCCAGUCAGGGGUGAAAUCCCGGGGCUUAACCUCGGAACUGCCUUUGAUACUGACAGUCUAGAGUCUGUGAGAGGAUGACGGAAUACCCAGUGUAGAGGUGAAAUUCGUAGAUAUUGGGUAGAACACCGGUGGCGAAGGCGGUCAUCUGGCGCAGCACUGACGCUGAGGCGCGAAAGCGUGGGGAGCGAACAGGAUUAGAUACCCUGGUAGUCCACGCCGUAAACGAUGUGUGCUAGCCGUCGGGAGUUAGGCUCUCGGUGGCGCCGCUAACGCAUUAAGCACACCGCCUGGGGAGUACGGUCGCAAGAUUAAAACUCAAA
RNAcentral lists this ribosomal RNA (833 nucleotides) under uncultured bacterium. RNAcentral describes it as "bacterial SSU rRNA". It matches the Rfam family "Bacterial small subunit ribosomal RNA", at positions 26 to 905 of the family's 1533-position model. The record is from RNAcentral.